AUGACCAGCGGCUCGGGCUCGGGCCGUGCCUCAGUUGGCCCGCCGGCGCUCCUGGGGCGGCCCCUGCGGGCGGAGGUGACCCUGUCCGGGCCUGAACCCACGAACCUGGGGACCAAGGGCCUCGUCUGCACCUUGGGCUCUGCCCCCCCACCCGCUGCCCCGCUCCGCGCCCCCAGAGCCACAGCGCGCACCCAAGUUCCCGGGGCUCCCGGCUCAACUCAGAAAGUUCUGCGCUGGGAACGCCCGCCCGUGCCCGCCCGCUCCCCGCUCCCCGCUCCCCGCUCCCCGCGCUCCCGCCGCGGCCCAGGACCCCCGCCCCGACGCGCCCGCUUACUUGGCUGGGCCUGGGGGGCGCCCCGAGUCCGCGAGUGCGUGGGUGCGCUGCGGUCCCGGGUCGCCGAGCGCGGGGUGCUCGCGGGGUGCUCCUGGGGUGCGCGGGGAUGCGCGCGGGGUGCUCCUGGGGUGCCCCUGGGAUGCUCUCGGGGUGAUCCUGGGGUGCGCGCCGGGUGCUCUCGGGGUGCGCGGGGAUGCGCGCGGGGUGCUCCUGGGGUGCUCCUGGGGUGCGCGCGGGGUACUCUCGGGGUACUCUCGGGUUGCUCCUGGGGUGCGUGCUCUCGGGGUGCGCGCGCGGUACUCCUGGGGUGCUGUCAGGGUGCUCUUGGAGUGCGCGCGGGGUGGUCCCGGGGUGGUCCCGGGGUGGUCCCGGGGUGGUCCCGGGGUGCUCUCAGGGUGGUCCCGGGGUGCUCCCGGGGUGGUCCCGGGGUGCUCGCGGAGUGCUCCCGGGGUGCUCGCGGGGUGCUCGCGGGGUGGUCCCGGGGUGGUCCCGGGGUGCUCGCGGGGUGCUCCCGGGGUGCUCUAGGGGUGCUCCCGGGGUGCCCUCGGGGUGGUCCCGGGGUGCUCUCGGGGUGCUCCCGGGGUGCUCGCGGGGCGCUCGCGGGGUGCCCGCCGUCCGUGCCGCCGCCGCAGCCGCCGCGGGCCGCAGUUUAUAGCGCGGCGGCCGGUCCGCGCCGGGGCUUUUCCGUGACGUCAGCGCCCCCGCGGGAGGGGCGUCUCUGCAGCGAACCCCGAGUCGCGGCCUCGCCGCCCAGACGGUUACUCGCAGUCAUGUGA
This 1110-nucleotide long non-coding RNA is filed under the name Canis lupus familiaris (dog). RNAcentral's name for it is "lncRNA (ENSCAFG00000059408.1)". Lineage: Eukaryota; Metazoa; Chordata; Mammalia; Carnivora; Canidae. The record is from RNAcentral.